UGCAGAAAAGGAAAAUGCAGUGGAAAGGCUGGAGAGAGAAGGCCAAGGCUGGGAGCCUUUGGAGACAAGCUGAAGAACCCACUCCAAGUUGUCCUGCUGGCUUCCAUGCGGACAUCAUGAAUGUUCCUGAACCAGCUGGAGGCGAGUUUGGAUAUGACAGAGAUACAUCAUUGCUGAAAGAGAUCAGGAGUAGGUGAGGGUCAGGUGCUGGGUCUCCAACCCAGGGGCAGGCUCUUAUCCCAGGGAACUGAAUCAGGGCUGUGGAAACCACAACAGGAACAACUUGAACCAGGAA
Molecule: long non-coding RNA, 295 nt
Filed under: Pan troglodytes (chimpanzee)
Lineage: Eukaryota; Metazoa; Chordata; Mammalia; Primates; Hominidae
Description: long non-coding RNA NONPTRT017853
Source: RNAcentral